This 658-nucleotide unclassified non-coding RNA is filed under the name Leishmania donovani. Its description in RNAcentral is "gene:unknown". The record is from RNAcentral. Lineage: Eukaryota; Euglenozoa; Kinetoplastea; Trypanosomatida; Trypanosomatidae.
ACGCAUUUGUUUCUAUCUGUGCUUGUCUCUCUUCUGUUGCACACACUGAGAAGGGAGAGGUGCCAAACAGACGUGAAAGGGGCACAAGGAGAGGCGCGGGAUGAAGUUUGGGAGUACGGAAGAAGAGAGGGCAUACAUGUACACGCUGCCUUCCUCCCACCUCCCUAUUUCAUCACGUCAUCUGCUUGUGCGUUUAGUGUAGCAUCACAGUGAUUCCCACCAGGAAGCCCACUCCACCCUCCCCUGCUCCUCCUCCUUUGUGCCGCGCUGCGCGGCUGCUCCUUUCACUUCUCACAAGUGGCACCCUUUUUCGCUCUGCGCUCUCACACGGAUACUCAUUUUUUUUUUCUGUUCUGUUUGCGUACUUUGUUAGCGAAACAAACAACAUAGAAAGUGCCGGUCGUGGCGGUGAUGCCUAUCCAUGGCCUCCCCCGUGUCCCGACCCCGACUCCCUUUCUCUCUUUUCGUACGCCUUUUCGUUGCGUUUCCCUUUUCCUCCUGCACACGUUCGAACGUUCUCUAUCUGUUUUUGUCGUUUGCUGUUUUACCCCUUCUCACCUCGCUUCCUUUCCUCUAUUCUCCUCCCCCUCUCACCUGAUUUCGCAACCCGAUGUUUUCUCUUGCCUGCUCUCUCGCUUCGCAUACCAUUGCCCUAAAG